AGUAGUGGUAUUUACAGAUGGUUGGGUGACAGAAAAAGUAAAUAACUACGUUUCAUUACAGUUUCCUGUUUCCUUCUUGAUUCUUUUCAAGGGAAAAUUUUCUUUUUUAGAGACACAGGCCAUUCAGUCCCGAAUCCCAAGACACUGAAGACUCUGUUUGAAUCGGACUCACGGGUUCCUUCCUAGCUACUCUCAGGGACAGGAAUGCUUCUGGUGAAGAAGUUUUCAGUAGCGGUUCAUGGAGCUUCCCUACACCAACUUGGAAAUGGCAUUCAUUUUAUUGGCUUUUGUUAUCUUUUCCUUAUUUACCCUGGCUUCCAUCUACACUACUCCGGAUGACAGUAAUGAAGAGCAAGAACAUGAAAUAAAGGGAAAGGAAAAGAAAAGGAAAAAGUCUGAAAAGAAGAAAAAUUGCUCAGAGGAAGAGCAUAGAAUUGAAGCUGUUGAGCUAUGAUCUCAUAGCCGCCGAUAUUUCUCGCUAAGAAGACAGAGGAAGCAAUCCAUGGGAACUACUUAUCCACAGUAAACAAGAGGAGGGGAUAAUGAAGAAAGUUAAAAUCACUUACUGAUUAAACACGAUGAUAAUAACCAUUAAUGAACUCAAUACUCGGGAAAGGCUUCACAACAUUUCUGGGACUUGGCAUUAUCCAAAAUAUCUAUCAAGAGCUAUACACCAUUCUAGCUGCAAUUGAUUACACACACACACACACACACACACAAAAGGCCAAA
Molecule: small RNA, 729 nt
Filed under: Pongo abelii (Sumatran orangutan)
Lineage: Eukaryota; Metazoa; Chordata; Mammalia; Primates; Hominidae
Description: processed transcript
Source: RNAcentral